ACCGGGAUGCCGAAGUCUGGGUUCCGGUGAAAACCAACCUCGCUGAUCAAACAGGAGCUUUGACGAUGAAU
This 71-nucleotide small RNA is filed under the name Hydrocarboniphaga effusa AP103. RNAcentral describes it as "Repression of heat shock gene expression (ROSE) element". It matches the Rfam family "Repression of heat shock gene expression (ROSE) element". The record is from Rfam by way of RNAcentral. Lineage: Bacteria; Pseudomonadati; Pseudomonadota; Gammaproteobacteria; Nevskiales; Nevskiaceae.